This 279-nucleotide ribosomal RNA is filed under the name uncultured bacterium. RNAcentral's name for it is "partial 16S ribosomal RNA". It matches the Rfam family "Bacterial small subunit ribosomal RNA", at positions 506 to 784 of the family's 1533-position model. The record is from RNAcentral.
UGCCAGCCGCCGCGGUAAUACGGAGGGUGCAAGCGUUGUUCGGAAUUAUUGGGCGUAAAGCGCGUGUAGGCGGUUUCGUAGGUCAGAUGUGAAAUCCCGGGGCUCAACCCCGGAAGUGCAUUUGAAACCCCGGAACUUGAGUAUGGGAGAGGAAAGUGGAAUUCCCAGUGUAGAGGUGAAAUUCGUAGAUAUUGGGAAGAACACCAGUGGCGAAGGCGGCUAACUGGCUCGGUACUGACGCUGAGAUGCGAAAGCGUGGGGAGCAAACAGGAUUAGAUA